CAGCCGCCGCGGUAAUACAGAGGGUGCGAGCGUUAAUCGGAUUUACUGGGCGUAAAGCGUGCGUAGGCGGCUUCUUAAGUCGGAUGUGAAAUCCCUGAGCUUAACUUAGGAAUUGCAUUCGAUACUGGGAAGCUAGAGUAUGGGAGAGGAUGGUAGAAUUCCAGGUGUAGCGGUGAAAUGCGUAGAGAUCUGGAGGAAUACCGAUGGCGAAGGCAGCCAUCUGGUCUAAUACUGACGCUGAGGUACGAAAGCAUGGGGAGCAAACAGGAUUAGAUACCCGUGUAGUCCCUGUCUCUUAUAC
This 301-nucleotide ribosomal RNA is filed under the name uncultured bacterium. RNAcentral's name for it is "partial 16S ribosomal RNA". It matches the Rfam family "Bacterial small subunit ribosomal RNA", at positions 509 to 807 of the family's 1533-position model. The record is from RNAcentral.